CCUACGGGAGACUGCAGUCGAGAAUCAUUCACAAUGGGGGAAACUCUGAUGGUGCGACGCCGCGUGGGGGAAUGAAGGUCUUCGGAUUGUAAACCCCUGUCAUGUGGGAUCAAAUUAAAAAGAUAGUACCACAAGAGGAAGAGACGGCUAACUCUGUGCCAGCAGCCGCGGUAAUACAGAGGUCUCAAGCGUUGUUCGGAAUCACUGGGCGUAAAGCGUGCGUAGGCUGUUUCGUAAGUCGUGUGUGAAAGGCGCGGGCUCAACCCGCGGACGGCACAUGAUACUGCGAGACUAGAGUAAUGGAGGGGGAACCGGAAUUCUCGGUGUAGCAGUGAAAUGCGUAGAUAUCGAGAGGAACACUCGUGGCGAAGGCGGGUUCCUGGACAUUAACUGACGCUGAGGCACGAAGGCCAGGGGAGCGAAAGGGAUUAGAUACCCGAGUAGUC
This 446-nucleotide ribosomal RNA is filed under the name uncultured bacterium. RNAcentral's name for it is "partial 16S ribosomal RNA". It matches the Rfam family "Bacterial small subunit ribosomal RNA", at positions 338 to 795 of the family's 1533-position model. The record is from RNAcentral.